AUUGAACGCUGGCGGCAGGCCUAACACAUGCAAGUCGAGCGAGCGGCGGACGGGUGAGUAAUGUAUGGGGACUGCCCGAUAGAGGGGGAUAACUACUGGCAACGGUGGCUAAUACCGCAUACUAUCGGAUAACCCAUAUGGGAUUAGCUAGUAGGUGGGGUAAAGGCUAACCUGGGCGACGAUCUCUAGCUGGUCUGAGAGGGUGAUCAGCCACACGUGAACUGAGAAACGGCCCAGCCUCCUACGGAGGCAGCAGUGGGGAAUAUUGCAAAAUGGGCGAAAGCCUGAUGCAGCCAUGCGGCGUGUAGGAAGAAGGCCUUAGGGUGGUAAAGUACUUUCAGCGGGGAGGCGUUACCCGCAGAGGAAGCACCGGCUAACUCCGUGCCAGCAGCCGCGGUAAUAC
This 403-nucleotide ribosomal RNA is filed under the name uncultured bacterium. RNAcentral describes it as "partial 16S ribosomal RNA". It matches the Rfam family "Bacterial small subunit ribosomal RNA", at positions 30 to 526 of the family's 1533-position model. The record is from RNAcentral.